RNAcentral lists this ribosomal RNA (367 nucleotides) under uncultured Oscillospiraceae bacterium. RNAcentral describes it as "bacterial SSU rRNA". It matches the Rfam family "Bacterial small subunit ribosomal RNA", at positions 28 to 339 of the family's 1533-position model. Lineage: Bacteria; Bacillati; Bacillota; Clostridia; Eubacteriales; Oscillospiraceae. The record is from RNAcentral.
GAUAAACGCUGGCGGCGCACAUAAGACAUGCAAGUCGAACGGAAGUCGUUAUAAUCGAAGCAGAUAUGAACAGAGAACUUGUUCGAAGGAAAUUGAAGUAGACUUUAUAACAAUGGCUUUAGUGGCGGACUGGUGAGUAACGCGUGAGCAACCUGCCUAUCAGAGGGGAAUAACAGUGAGAAAUCAUUGCUAAUACCGCAUAUGCUUGUAGUAACACAUGUUAUAGCAAGGAAAGGAGUAAUCCGCUGAUAGAUGGGCUCGCGUCUGAUUAGAUAGUUGGUGGGGUAACGGCCUACCAAGUCGACGAUCAGUAGCCGGACUGAGAGGUUGAACGGCCACAUUGGGACUGAGAUACGGCCCAGACUCC